AAACAUUUGCUGACUGCUGUUCUAUCUAGGAUAUCAUCAGUGUGUAGAUGAUCAGAGUUCAUGUCAGUGUUCCUACAAGCCAAUGAAGGAAAACAGAGAUCUGUGUUCUGAAUGGAAAAAUUCCUACUGAUGCCAGUAAGUGAGCCAUCCAUCUAUGAUGUGUCUAUGGGGAAGAAAGUGACAUGAAUGAGUAAAAUAGAAUAUAUGCUUUAAAUCAUGAAAAUUGAGUCCAGAUGGAAAGGUUAGGAGGAAAUGGAGUGGAAAGGUGGAUGAAGAAGAGUGAGAACUCAUGCAGUCGUUGCGACUUGGUUGACACUUCCUUCCCUGUGACUACAAUUCCAAGUUCAGUACUCCUGAGCUUUUAUAGAUGGAUGAGAAUAUAGGGGGAAGAAACAAGAGGAAGGAGUUUUCUGAAAUCUCGGUGGAGAGGAGGGAGAAAAAAGAUGGGAAAAUGUUACAAGCAUUCUGUUCAUGUUGUAUCACUUAGUGCAGUCUUGUCUUCCCAGCCCACUAGUCUGGAACAAGUCAGUCUCAAACAUAACAACAGACACUGGGGAGCUCUCCAACAAAAGAUCACCUCCCAAAGAACAGGAUGGUGUCGAAGACUGAAUGCCAGCCUGAGGAAACAGAAAUACUACAGAAGCACGCCAGAGCCUGCAGUGUCUCCUCGCUGCCUCUCAAUGAACUGCUAAAAGACCAAGAACUCUGCUGAGAGAUAAGAAGAGGGGAGGGUGUGCUGCAGGUGGUGCUGGGAGGCCCAGACCUUCUCCUGACAUCUGGGGCUGGCUACAGGAAACAGAAACAUCACCCAGGCCUUGGCGCGAGACAGGACAGAGGCAGAUUGUGACUCAGAUCUGCAGGUGGAAAGUGGGCCUUUCGUUUUCUCCUAGGGGUAGAGCAAAGCCAGAGGGCUCAGUCAGAGGAAACCUAAGGCAGUUCAUGAUCCCUUCAACUUUAUACCAUUUCCUCAAAACUGCCUCCAAACAGUGGGCAACUGGAAAGGUGGUCUGACCUCCAGUGAUCACACAGUAUGCAUUAUAACAGAAGGCUGUCACUGUCAAUUGCAUGGCUCCCUCACUAUGCAUUCCUUCUAUCAAUUUACGACAACACACUGUAGUGAGUACCUGCACAUUGCUGGGUAUUUUGGCAGACAUUGAUAGUAGAUGAAUAACACCUGGUACUUGACCUUGAGACGCUCACUGCCUAGUGUGGGGAACCAAUGGUUGCAAUAUAAAGUAUUAACUAGAGGGAUAGAGGACUGCCUGAGGAUCUCUGCACUCAGAGGAAGGGCCAUGAGAUCAGCCAGGACAGUAGGGAGGCAGUGACUCAUGAAAUUAGCAAGUGGUGAGAAGAGGGCAG
Molecule: long non-coding RNA, 1359 nt
Filed under: Homo sapiens (human)
Lineage: Eukaryota; Metazoa; Chordata; Mammalia; Primates; Hominidae
Description: HSALNT0251559
Source: RNAcentral